CUUAAAUGAAUUGGCGGAGGCGCGCACAAGCGGUGGAGCAUGUGGUUUAAUUCGAAGCAACGCGAAGAACCUUACCAGGUCUUGACAUCCUCUGACAACCCUAGAGAUAGGGCUUCCCCUUCGGGGGCAGAGUGACAGGUGGUGCAUGGUUGUCGUCAGCUCGUGUCGUGAGAUGUUGGGUUAAGUCCCGCAACGAGCGCAACCCUUGAUCUUAGUUGCCAGCAUUCAGUUGGGCACUCUAAGGUGACUGCCGGUGACAAACCGGAGGAAGGUGGGGAUGACGUCAAAUCAUCAUGCCCCUUAUGACCUGGGCUACACACGUGCUACAAUGGGCAGAACAAAGGGCAGCGAAGCCGCGAGGCUAAGCCAAUCCCACAAAUCUGUUCUCAGUUCGGAUCGCAGUCUGCAACUCGACUGCGUGAAGCUGGAAUCGCUAGUAAUCGCGGAUCAGCAUGCCGCGGUGAAUACGUUCCCGCCCCUUGCACACACCGCCCG
This 495-nucleotide ribosomal RNA is filed under the name Bacillus licheniformis. RNAcentral's name for it is "bacterial SSU rRNA". It matches the Rfam family "Bacterial small subunit ribosomal RNA", at positions 900 to 1396 of the family's 1533-position model. The record is from RNAcentral. Lineage: Bacteria; Bacillati; Bacillota; Bacilli; Caryophanales; Bacillaceae.